This 301-nucleotide ribosomal RNA is filed under the name uncultured bacterium. Its description in RNAcentral is "partial 16S ribosomal RNA". It matches the Rfam family "Bacterial small subunit ribosomal RNA", at positions 509 to 807 of the family's 1533-position model. The record is from RNAcentral.
CAGCAGCCGCGGUAAUACAGAGGGUGCGAGCGUUAAUCGGAUUUACUGGGCGUAAAGCGUGCGUAGGUGGUUCGCCAAGUUGGAUGUGAAACCCCCGGGCUCAACCUGGGAACUGCAUCCAAAACUGGCGAGCUAGAGUAUGGUAGAGGGUGGUGGAAUUUCCUGUGUAGCGGUGAAAUGCGUAGAUAUAGGAAGGAACAUCAGUGGCGAAGGCGACCACCUGGACUGAUACUGACACUGAGGUGCGAAAGCGUGGGGAGCAAACAGGAUUAGAUACCCCAGUAGUCCCUGUCUCUUAUAC